Molecule: ribosomal RNA, 231 nt
Filed under: uncultured bacterium
Lineage: Bacteria
Description: partial 16S ribosomal RNA
Rfam family: Bacterial small subunit ribosomal RNA
Source: RNAcentral
UGAGUAACCUGCCCUGGACUUUGGGAUAACCCUCGGAAACGGGGGCUAAUACCGGGUAUGACCGUCUGCCGCAUGGUGGGUGGUGGAAAGCUUUUGCGGUUGGGGAUGGGCUCGCGGCCUAUCAGCUUGUUGGUGGGGUGAUGGCCUACCAAGGCGACGACGGGUAGCCGGCCUGAGAGGGCGACCGGCCACACUGGGACUGAGACACGGCCCAGUCUCCUACGGGAGGCA